This is a long non-coding RNA of Nematostella vectensis (starlet sea anemone), 4145 nucleotides long. RefSeq lists it as uncharacterized. Lineage: Eukaryota; Metazoa; Cnidaria; Anthozoa; Actiniaria; Edwardsiidae. The record is from RefSeq and is a predicted model, not a curated record. The transcript is spliced from 2 exons.
AUCUAAAAAAGACGGCUGUUAAAAAAAUCGCGUGUUAUUUGAGCUCGACAUGGGGUUGCGUUCGGCUUCAUUAUAAUUCAAGAAUUUGAUUCCCCAAUUUUUUUCUUUGCUGAAUCGAAAGAAAUAACACCAAUCUUUGCUCAAAGUGCAAAAUUUCUGCGAAAAUCCAUGUACCAUCGGUUUUAUAAGCCCCUAAUUUAGACUAUUAUUCAAGUCGACAUUUUUUAUUGACAUGUUUAGACAGCAAUAAAAUAUACUUUUUUUGCCGGAAAAAGUAAAGAAACCACUCGAUUUAUACCUUAUCAACUCCUUUCUAAGGAUCUGUAUCGCUAUUUUUAAUUCCGCGUAUAUUUAAAGAAUAUUUUGCGAUUUUUUACGCAAGGUAAAAAAUGCCCCCAAAUCGGCGAUUUUAUAGGCAAAAUCGUAAAUUCGGAAUUUCUCGAAAAAUAUUUAAUGUAUGUAACUCAAACUUUUUAACCAUGAUAAGGGAACCAGGGGCUAACUUUAAACCAAUUUUGAGCGAUUUUGAAAUUUCUUAUUUGGAACCCCUCAGUUGAAUCUAAGGGACUGGUGCACUUAAGAAUGGAGAGCUUAGAGCAGUACACAAGUCAAAUUAUUAAUAAACAAAUAGCCUAAAACGAACAUUUUCAAUUUUGAAAUAGACCUACACUAGACCUACACUAAAAGCACACAGGGGGAAAUAGACCUACCGUAAGAGCACUAAUGGAACACAGGGGGAUAUAGACCUACCGUAAGUGCACUAAUAGAACACAGGGGGAUAUAGACCUACCGUAAGUGCACUAAUAGAACACAGGGGGAAAUAGACCUACCGUAAGAGCACUCAUAGAACACAGGGGGAAAUAGACCUACCGUAAGAGCACUAAUAGAACACAGGGGGAUAUAGACCUACCGUAAGUGCACUAUUAGAACACAGGGGGAUAUAGACCUACCGUAAGAGCACUAAUAGAAAACAGGGGGAUAUAGACCUACCGUAAGAGUACUAAUAGAACACAGGGGGAAAUAGACCCACCCGUAAGAGCACUAAUAGAACACAGGGGGAUAUAGACCUACCGUAAGUGCACUAAUAGAACACAGGGGGAAAUAGACCUACCGUAAGAGCACUAAUAGAAGACAGGGGGAAAUAGACCUGCCGUAAGAGCACUAAUAGAACACAGGGGGAAAUAGACCUACCGUAAGAGCACUAAUAGAACACAGGGGGAUAUAGACCUGCCGUAAGAGUACUAAUAGAACACAGGGGAAUAUAGACCUACCGUAAGAGCACUAAUAGAACACAGGGGGAUAUAGACCUACCGUAAGAGCACUAAUAGAACACAGGGGAAUAUAGACCUACCGUAAGAGCACUAAUAGAACACAGGGGGAAAUAGACCUACCGUAAGAGCACUAAUAGAACACAGGGGGAUAUAGACCUACCGUAAGAGUACUAAUAGAACACAGGGGGAAAUAGACCUACCAACACAGGGGGAAAUAGACCUACCGUAAGAGCACUAAUAGAACACAGGGGGAAAUAGACCCACCGUAAGAGUACUAAAAGAACACAGGGGGAAAUAGACCUACCGUAAGAGCACUAAUAGAACACAGGGGGAAAUAGACCAACCGUAAGAGUACUAAAAGAACACAGGGGGAAAUAGACCCACCGUAAGAGCACUAAUAGAACACAGGGGGAUAUAGACCUACCGUAAGAGUACUAAUAGAACACAGGGGGAAAUAGACCUACCGUAAGUGCACUAAUAGAACACAGGGGGAUAUAGACCUACCGUAAGUGUACUAAUAGAACACAGGGGGAAAUAGACCUACCGUAAGAGUACUAAUAGGACACAGGGGGGUAUAGACCUACCGUAAGAGCACUAAUAGAACACAGGGGGAUAUAGACCUACCGUAAGAGUACUAAUAGAACACAGGGGGAAAUAGACCUACCAACACAGGGGGAAAUAGACCUACCGUAAGAGUACUAAUAGAACACAGGGGGGUAUAGACCUACCGUAAGAGCACUAAUAGAACACAGGGGGAUAUAGACCUACCGUAAGAGUACUAAUAGAACACAGGGGGAAAUAGACCUACCGUAAGAGCACUAAUAGAACACAGGGGAAUAUAGACCUACCGUAAGAGCACUAAUAGAACACAGGGGAAUAUAGACCUACCGUAAGAGCACUAAUAGAACACAGGGGGAAAUAGACCCACCGUAAGAGCACUAAUAGAACACAGGGGGAUAUAGACCUAGCGUAAGUGCACUAAUAGAACACAGGGGGAGAUAGACCUACCGUAAGAGUACUAAUAGAACACAGGGGGAACUAGACCUACCGUAAGUGCACUAAUAGAACACAGGGGGAAAUAGACCUACCGUAAGAGCACUAAUAGAACACAGGGGGAAAUAGACCCACCCGUAAGAGCACUAAUAGAACACAGGGGGAAAUAGACCCACCCGUAAGAGCACUAAUAGAACACAGGGGGAAAUAGACCUACCGUAAGAGCACUAAUAGAACACAGGGGGAAAUAGACACACCCGUAAGAGCACUAAUAGAACACAGGGGGAAAUAGACCUACCGUAAGAGCACUAAUAGAACACAGGGGGAAAUAGACCUACCGUAAGAGCACUAAUAGAAGACAGGGGGAAAUAGACCCACCCGUAAGAGCACUAAUAGAACACAGGGGGAAAAAGACCUACCGUAAGAGCACUAAUAGAACACAGGGGGAAAUAGACCCACCCGUAAGAGCACUAAUAGAACACAGGGGGAAAUAGACCUACCGUAAGAGCACUAAUAGAACACAGGGGGAAAUAGACCUACCGUAAGAGCACUAAUAGAACACAGGGGGAUAUAGACCUACCGUAAGAGUACUAAUAGAACACAGGGGGAUAUAGACCUACCGUAAGAGCACUAAUAGAACACAGGGGGAAAUAGACCUACCGUAAGAGCACUAAUAGAACACAGGGGGAUAUAGACCUACCGUAAGAGUACUAAUAGAACACAGGGGGAUAUAGACCCACCCGUAAGAGCACUAAUAGAACACAGGGGGAAAUAGACCUACCGUAAGAGCACUAAUAGAACACAGGGGGAAAUAGACCUACCGUAAGUGCACUAAUAGAACACAGGGGGAGAUAGACCUACCGUAAGAGUACUAAUAGAACACAGGGGGAACUAGACCUACCGUAAGUGCACUAAUAGAACACAGGGGGAAAUAGACCUACCGUAAGAGCACUAAUAGAACACAGGGGGAAAUAGACCCACCCGUAAGAGCACUAAUAGAACACAGGGGGAAAUAGACCUACCGUAAGAGCACUAAUAGAACACAGGGGGAAAUAGACCCACCCGUAAGAGCACUAAUAGAACACAGGGGGAAAUAGACCUACCGUAAGAGCACUAAUAGAACACAGAGGGAAAUAGACCCACCCGUAAGAGCACUAAUAGAACACAGGGGGAAAUAGACCUACCGUAAGAGCACUAAUAGAACACAGGGGGAAAUAGACCCACCCGUAAGAGCACUAAUAGAACACAGGGGGAAAUAGACCUACCGUAAGAGCACUAAUAGAACACAGGGGGAAAUAGACCUACCGUAAGAGCACUAAUAGAACACAGGGGGAUAUAGACCUACCGUAAGUGCACUAAUAGAACACAGGGGGAUAUAGACCUACCGUAAAAGCACUAAUAGAACACAGAGGGAUAUAGACCUACCGUAAGAGUACUAAUAGAACACAGGGGGAUAUAGACCUACCGUAAGAGCAGAAAUAAAACACAGAGGGAAAUAGACCCACCCGUAAGAGCACUAAUAGAACACAGGGGGAUAUAGACCUACCGUAAGAGCACUAAUAGAACACAGGGGGAUAUAGACCUACCGUAAGAGCACUAAUAGAACACAGGGGAAUAUAGACCUACCGUAAGAGCAGAAAUAAAACACAGAGGGAAAUAGACCUACCGUAAGAGUACUAAUAGAACACAGGGGGAUAUAGACCUACCGUAAGAGCACUAAUAGAACACAGGGGAAUAUAGACCUACCGUAAGAGCACUAAUAGAACACAGGGGGAUAUAGACCUACCGUAAGAGCACUAAUAGAACACAGGGGGAUAUAGACCUACCGUAAGAGCUCUAAUAGAACACAGGGGGAAAUAGACCCACCCGUAAGAGCACUAA